GCAUGUCUAAGUAUAAGCAAUUUAUACAGUGAAACUGCGAAUGGCUCAUUAAAUCAGUUAUCGUUUAUUUGAUAGUACCUUACUACUUGGAUAACCGUGGUAAUUCUAGAGCUAAUACAUGCUUAAAAUCCCGACUGUUUGGAAGGGAUGUAUUUAUUAGAUAAAAAAUCAAUGUCUUCGGACUCUUUGAUGAUUCAUAAUAACUUUUCGAAUCGCAUGGCCUUGUGCUGGCGAUGGUUCAUUCAAAUUUCUGCCCUAUCAACUUUCGAUGGUAGGAUAGUGGCCUACCAUGGUUUCAACGGGUAACGGGGAAUAAGGGUUCGAUUCCGGAGAGGGAGCCUGAGAAACGGCUACCACAUCCAAGGAAGGCAGCAGGCGCGCAAAUUACCCAAUCCCGACACGGGGAGGUAGUGACAAUAAAUAACGAUACAGGGCCCUUUCGGGUCUUGUAAUUGGAAUGAGUACAAUGUAAAUACCUUAACGAGGAACAAUUGGAGGGCAAGUCUGGUGCCAGCAGCCGCGGUAAUUCCAGCUCCAAAAGCGUAUAUUAAAGUUGUUGCAGUUAAAAAGCUCGUAGUUGAACCUUGGGCUUGGUUGGCCGGUCCAUCUUUCUGAUGCGUACUGGACCCAACCGAGCCUUUCCUUCUGGCUAGCCUUUUGGCGAACCAGGACUUUUACUUUGAAAAAAUUAGAGUGUUCAAAGCAGGCCUUUGCUCGAAUAUAUUAGCA
RNAcentral lists this ribosomal RNA (729 nucleotides) under Candida tropicalis. RNAcentral describes it as "SSU rRNA". It matches the Rfam family "Eukaryotic small subunit ribosomal RNA", at positions 53 to 809 of the family's 1831-position model. The record is from RNAcentral. Lineage: Eukaryota; Fungi; Ascomycota; Pichiomycetes; Serinales; Debaryomycetaceae.